CCUACGGGCGGCUGCAGUGGGGAAUAUUGGACAAUGGGCGAAAGCCUGAUCCAGCCAUGCCGCGUGUGUGAAGAAGGCCUUCGGGUUGUAAAGCACUUUCAGUGGGGAAGAAAGCCUUGGGGCUAAUACCCUCGAGGAAGGACAUCACCCACAGAAGAAGCACCGGCUAACUCCGUGCCAGCAGCCGCGGUAAUACGGAGGGUGCGAGCGUUAAUCGGAAUUACUGGGCGUAAAGCGCGCGUAGGCGGUCUGAUAAGCCGGUUGUGAAAGCCCCGGGCUCAACCUGGGAACGGCAUCCGGAACUGUCAGGCUAGAGUGCAGGAGGGGAAGGUAGAAUUCCCGGUGUAGCGGUGAAAUGCGUAGAGAUCGGGAGGAAUACCAGUGGCGAAGGCGGCCUUCUGGACUGACACUGACGCUGAGGUGCGAAAGCGUGGGUAGCAAACAGGAUUAGAUACCCUAGUAGUC
This 465-nucleotide ribosomal RNA is filed under the name Vreelandella stevensii. RNAcentral describes it as "partial 16S ribosomal RNA". It matches the Rfam family "Bacterial small subunit ribosomal RNA", at positions 338 to 795 of the family's 1533-position model. Lineage: Bacteria; Pseudomonadati; Pseudomonadota; Gammaproteobacteria; Oceanospirillales; Halomonadaceae. The record is from RNAcentral.